UGAGGUUCGAAAGCGUGGGUAGCAAACAGGAUUAGAUACCCUGGUAGUCCACGCCGUAAACGAUGUCUACUAGUCGUUGGGUCCCUUGAGGACUUAGUGACGCAGCUAACGCAAUAAGUAGACCGCCUGGGGAGUACGGCCGCAAGGUUAAAACUCAAAUGAAUUGACGGGGGCCCGCACAAGCGGUGGAGCAUGUGGUUUAAUUCGAUGCAACGCGAAGAACCUUACCUGGUCUUGACAUAUCUAGAAUCCUGCAGAGAUGCGGGAGUGCCUUCGGGAAUUAGAAUACAGGUGCUGCAUGGCUGUCGUCAGCUCGUGUCGUGAGAUGUUGGGUUAAGUCCCGCAACGAGCGCAACCCUUGUCCUUAGUUACCAGCGGUUUGGCCGGGAACUCUAAGGAUACUGCCAGUGACAAACUGGAGGAAGGCGGGGACGACGUCAAGUCAUCAUGGCCCUUACGACCAGGGCUACACACGUGCUACAAUGGUAGGUACAGAGGGCAGCUACACAGCGAUGUGAUGCGAAUCUCAAAAAGCCUAUCGUAGUCCAGAUUGGAGUCUGCAACUCGACUCCAUGAAGUANGAAUCGCUAGUAAUCGCGGAUCAGAAUGCCGCGGUGAAUACGUUCCCGGGCCUUGUACACACCGCCCGUCACACCAUGGGAGUUGAUUGCACCAGAAGUGGGU
RNAcentral lists this ribosomal RNA (684 nucleotides) under Psychrobacter sp. RNAcentral's name for it is "bacterial SSU rRNA". It matches the Rfam family "Bacterial small subunit ribosomal RNA", at positions 747 to 1431 of the family's 1533-position model. The record is from RNAcentral. Lineage: Bacteria; Pseudomonadati; Pseudomonadota; Gammaproteobacteria; Moraxellales; Moraxellaceae.